RNAcentral lists this transfer RNA (77 nucleotides) under Treponema lecithinolyticum ATCC 700332. RNAcentral describes it as "tRNA-Val". It matches the Rfam family "tRNA". From Rfam's summary of the family: Transfer RNA (tRNA) molecules are approximately 80 nucleotides in length. Their secondary structure includes four short double-helical elements and three loops (D, anti-codon, and T loops). The record is from RNAcentral. Lineage: Bacteria; Pseudomonadati; Spirochaetota; Spirochaetia; Treponematales; Treponemataceae.
GGGCGAUUAGCUCAGCUGGUUAGAGUACUACCUUGACAUGGUAGGGGUCACUGGUUCGAUCCCAGUAUCGCCCAGCA